GGGGUUGUGGCUCAGUGUCAGGGCGCUUGCCUAGCAUGUAUGAGGCACUGGGUUCAAUUCUCAACACCA
RNAcentral lists this transfer RNA (69 nucleotides) under Marmota monax (woodchuck). RNAcentral describes it as "tRNA.Ala". Lineage: Eukaryota; Metazoa; Chordata; Mammalia; Rodentia; Sciuridae. The record is from RNAcentral.